This is a small nucleolar RNA of Suncus etruscus (white-toothed pygmy shrew), 209 nucleotides long. RefSeq annotates it as small nucleolar RNA U3. The transcript has a single exon. NCBI's taxonomy places the organism in Eukaryota, Metazoa, Chordata, Mammalia, Eulipotyphla, Soricidae. The record is from RefSeq and is a predicted model, not a curated record.
UGGCCCCUCAGGGAUCAUUUCUAUAGUAUGUAACUAGAGAAGUUUCUCUGAAUGUGUAGAAAACCCGAAGCCACGUGGAGGAGCCAGAACAUCCUCUCCUGAGCGUGAAGCCGACUCUAGGUGUUGCUUCUGCGACUGCCUCUUGCCAUUGAUGAUCGUUCUCCCUUUCCUUUGGGAAGGGUAUAGGGAGAGGAUGCAGUCUGAGUGGU